UAUUGAGUUUAUGGACUUGUACAGCUACCUCAUUCCAGUUUAUGAGAUUGAGCCACUUGAGAAGAUUACUGAUGCAUAUCUGGAUCAGUACCUAUGGUAUGAAGGUGAUAAGCGUCAUCUCUUCCCAAAUUGGAUUAAGCCUGCCGACUCAGAGCCACCACCUCUGUUGGUGUACAAAUGGUGUCAAGGCAUAAACAAUUUGCAAGGAGUAUGGGACACUAGUGAAGGACAGUGUGUGGUGAUGCUGC
RNAcentral lists this unclassified non-coding RNA (248 nucleotides) under Hevea brasiliensis (rubber tree). The record is from RNAcentral. Lineage: Eukaryota; Viridiplantae; Streptophyta; Magnoliopsida; Malpighiales; Euphorbiaceae.